GCUGUGCAGAGAGGGAGAGCUGCGCAGCGCCCCUUCAGCGAAGCAGGAGGAGAAACAGAAGGGGCUCUGUUCAAGCUGGCCACUGUCUCUGCGCAGCGCCUCUCCUGUGAAGUGCCUCUCCUGCAAAGCAGGAGAGGCACUUCGCUGAAGUGGCGCUGCGCAGCUCUCCCUCUCUGCGCAGC
Molecule: non-coding RNA, 182 nt
Organism: Podarcis lilfordi (Lilford's wall lizard)
Lineage: Eukaryota; Metazoa; Chordata; Lepidosauria; Squamata; Lacertidae
Source: the annotation of a GenBank genome assembly